GCUAGGUAUCGUUGCAUGAAUACAUAGUGCAACGAGGCGAACCGGGAGAACUGAAACAUCUAAGUACCCCGAGGAAAAGAAAUCAACCGAGAUUCCCUCAGUAGCGGCGAGCGAACGGGGAUUAGCCCUUAAGUUUCUUGGAAGUUAGUGGAAUGGUCCUGGAAAGGCCAGCGAUACAGGGUGAUAGCCCCGUACACGAAAACGACCUUGAAGUGAAAUCGAGUAGGGCGGGACACGUGACAUCCUGUCUGAAUAUGGGGGGACCAUCCUCCAAGGCUAAAUACUCCUGACUGACCGAUAGUGAACCAGUACCGUGAGGGAAAGGCGAAAAGAACCCCUGUGAGGGGAGUGAAAUAGAACCUGAAACCGUGUACGUACAAGCAGUGGGAGCCCUUCGGGGUGACUGCGUACCUUGUGUAUAAUGGGUC
This 428-nucleotide ribosomal RNA is filed under the name Enterococcus faecium. RNAcentral's name for it is "partial 23S ribosomal RNA". It matches the Rfam family "Bacterial large subunit ribosomal RNA", at positions 143 to 621 of the family's 2925-position model. The record is from RNAcentral. Lineage: Bacteria; Bacillati; Bacillota; Bacilli; Lactobacillales; Enterococcaceae.